GACGAACGCUGGCGGCGUGCUUAACACAUGCAAGUCGAACGGAAAGGCCCUGCUUUUGUGGGGUGCUCGAGUGGCGAACGGGUGAGUAACACGUGAGUAACCUGCCCUUGACUUUGGGAUAACUUCAGGAAACUGGGGCUAAUACCGGAUAGGAGCUCCUGCUGCAUGGUGGGGGUUGGAAAGUUUCGGCGGUUGGGGAUGUACUCGCGGCUUAUCAGCUUGUUGGGGGGGUAGUGGCUUACCAAGGCUUUGACGGGUAGCCGGCCUGAGAGGGUGACCGGCCACAAUGGGACUGAGAUACGGCCCAGACUCCUACGGGAGGCAGCAGUGGGGAAUAUUGCACAAUGGGCGGAAGCCUGAUGCAGCAACGCCGCGUGCGGGAUGACGUCCUUCGGGUUGUAAACCGCUUUCGCCUGUGACGAAGCGUGAGUGACGGUAAUGGGUAAAGAAGCACCGGCUAACUACGUG
RNAcentral lists this ribosomal RNA (468 nucleotides) under uncultured bacterium. RNAcentral's name for it is "partial 16S ribosomal RNA". It matches the Rfam family "Bacterial small subunit ribosomal RNA", at positions 28 to 507 of the family's 1533-position model. The record is from RNAcentral.